CAGCCCUUGACAUGGGACUCGCCGGGAGCAGAGACGCUCCCUUCGGUUCGGCCGGAGUCCGCACAGGUGCUGCAUGGCUGUCGUCAGCUCGUGUCGUGAGAUGUUGGGUUAAGUCCCGCAACGAGCGCAACCCUCGUCUCCAGUUGCCAUCAGGUUAUGCUGGGCACUUUGGAGAAACUGCCGGUGACAAGCCGGAGGAAGGUGGGGAUGACGUCAAGUCCUCAUGGCCCUUACGGGCUGGGCUACACACGUGCUACAAUGGCGGUGACAGUGGGACGCGAAGGAGCGAUCUGGAGCAAAUCCCCAAAAGCCGUCUCAGUUCGGAUUGCACUCUGCAACUCGAGUGCAUGAAGGCGGAAUCGCUAGUAAUCGUGGAUCAGCAUGCCACGGUGAAUA
RNAcentral lists this ribosomal RNA (396 nucleotides) under uncultured bacterium. RNAcentral's name for it is "bacterial SSU rRNA". It matches the Rfam family "Bacterial small subunit ribosomal RNA", at positions 975 to 1368 of the family's 1533-position model. The record is from RNAcentral.